GCCUUGCUUCGAGUUAUGAUGCCUGAAGUGACGCCCCCUGCCGUGAUGACGCUCUUGUUUCUUGCAUCGGCAGCGAGAACAACUUGGGCCUUCUUUGACGCCAUUUGUGUUUAUUGCGGAUUCAAAGAUAGAGAUGAGAGGUAGAGACGGUCCCACUGGGCGUGCCAAAUUUGUAAACACGGAAAUUCCUGAAACAAGAACGUGUACAAAAUAAUAUUUGUAUUAAUGAUUUAGGGGUUACAAUCUCUUCUACAAAUUUAGCCUUUGAUUCUAUCUUUGUAAUGGGUAGAUUUGUUGUUGUUGAUCCAAAGGGCCGUCGGGGCUUGAUCUUUAGGAUGAACGGAUGAUGAAUGAUGAACACUUUCUUCAAGGGCCGUCGGGGCUUGAUCUUGAAUUAGUGGAAGUUUCUUCAAGGCCCGUUGGGGUUUGAUCUUGAAAAAGGAUUUGACGAAGAACGAAGAGGGCUUUCUUGAUUCUUCGGGAUUUGCUUGAGAGUAGAGAAAAUGUAUGUAAAUUUCCUCCCCUUGAUUCUUUGAUGGAGGAGCCUAUUUAUAGGCUUUGGGAAUGAAUCACCACCAUCCAUUUGUUUUGGUGGAUGUUGUAGGUGAAUUUUGGUGGAUGUUGUAGGUGAAACUUGGUGGAUGUUUGUAGGUGAAACUUGGUGGAUGUUGUAGGUGAAACUUGGUGGAUGUUGUAGGUGAAGUGAAUGAAGGUUGUAAUUUUAAUACAAUGGUCAACAUUUAUUUCACCAAAAUUUCAAUGUUUACAAAUGUAAUCUUAAUGCAAUAGCUAACAUUUAUGCCACCGAAAUUUCAAUGUCUACAAACAUGUAUCAAUUUUGCAAGGCUACAUCGAAAUCCGAAGCUAUGAAUUUAGUUACACAUCAUGUUCACAAAAAUUAAAAUGAAAAUACACAACAUGAGUGAAAAUAAAUUCAAGUGAGGAAACCCUUGAAGCAAUUCUGAUGUAGAACUUCUCCAAGAACAUCCUUCUGUGACGAGUCUUCGGUAAUGGUGGAAGUGUAUUGAACGACUAGGGUUUUGAGUGUGGAUGAAAAGAGAGGAAAAUCGAUGAUUAGAAUUGUGUAAUUCGUUCAAAAUAAAAAAGCCAUGUAAAAGUGGCUAAAAGGCAAGUUUUUAUGGGGUAAAAGAGGCUGCAAGAUAUUCCAAAGUGAUCCUAGCAACUUAGCCAUUAUUUUGCACCUUUUUGCCUCAUUUGGCACCUCCAAAUGAGGUUAGAUAUCCCAAUUCCUUUCCCAUUUUGUUCCUGGUCUUCUAACAAGCCAUAUUCAUCUUAGAUUCUUUAUUUAGACUUCAAAACAAGUAACAACUUUAUUUGGGCUCCAAAACAUGCCACCAAACUUCUCUCCACGUUUGGAUAAGGGUCAGCUCCAAAAUGGUACGUUUUCACUUCUUUUGCCUUCAAAUUGAUCCUAAAGUACAUGUAAUUGCACACUAAAACAAAAUAGGGUAAAAUGGAACCAGUUUAACUUAAAAACAACACAAAGAGACUAGAAAUGGAUGGUAUAAAUGCGUGAAAUAUAUGAGAUAUCACUUGUUGCACAUUCACAUGCCUCCAUGCCUAAGUAGCUUAACCUCAACUAUGUUGUGGACACCCUCUAAUGGAGUGCCUUUAACACAGUCAAAGAUUAAGGACUUAACCACAAGACAACUAUGAUGCCUAAGGUUAAAGGACUACUUUGCAUUAUCCUAACCAUGAGUUCUCAUGUGACAUGAGUAUGAAAACUCCUUGUUGGUCACAUUCAGUGGACUCUAUAUUGAGCACCUACAUACUUGUCUGGGUGUCAUUCACACCAAUGACUUGAGACCAGCCAUUUUCCUGAGAGAGAAGACAUAACAUGUACUGAUCUAUGCAGAUAGUCAAUGCCCAAUUGGCAAUGACCUAUCAUCAUGAACGUUUAGGAUACGUGUACGAAAGAGAAUGGUCUUAUGAAUCUAGCUUCGUUAGAUCACAUUCUCCUAAUUACAUAUUCCUUGGACUUAUCGUUCAAGCCUAUAACAUUUAAUGAACGACUUUAAACAAUAAUUUUUGCCCCAACAUUAAACUAGUUUUUUUUUUUUUUUUUUACAUGUGAAAUGUUCAAAAAGUAUCAUCUUAUGAUUGACUUUAGGGCAUAUUUCUAACAAUUUAAGUAUACUAGUUUAGUUUUCCAACAUGAUUAUACGAACAAUUUUAUUUUGAAAGAAAUUAAUUUUUUAAAGCUUUUUAAAUUAAUAUAAUUAGAAUUAAAU
This 2252-nucleotide long non-coding RNA is filed under the name Malus domestica (apple). Its description in RNAcentral is "long non-coding RNA (MDOM_LNC005829)". Lineage: Eukaryota; Viridiplantae; Streptophyta; Magnoliopsida; Rosales; Rosaceae. The record is from RNAcentral.